UUUCUUUCUUGCUUGAAAAGAAACCCACCCCCACUUGUUUUUCACCUUCAAAACAGCAAGCUCUUGUCGAGCUCUUCUCAUCCACAACUCUAAACAGCAAGCUCUUCUCAUCAACAAGUUUUUCUCAUCAACAAGCUUCAAUCGAAACCAUACAAACAAUCCAUACUUCGAGGUUAUACCUUCAAUCACCUUACUCACUGAGACUCUGUCUUGUUGUUUCAAGAAUCAGUAGCUACUUAUCUCUUUCACAAAUGUUAAAAUGCUGGAAAUUGCAUUCAUACUUUCAAUCCAUAGCAAACCAACAAUUGUAUGAGUUUUGAACUUCAAAAGCUGUAAAGAUGCAAACUUUAUAUAUAUAUGCAUAUAUCUUUGUAUAUCUACAAUACAUAUGUGUGUAAAAGCAAUUACAAAAUGCCUUUUCUGUUGAAUCGAAAAUAGAAGGGUGAAGAAGCUUAUGAUGUUGAGUAUGUGUGCUUGCUGUGUGUGAGUCGAAAUCAAGGGGGAGGGCAGGCGACGGUCGGCGGUGGUUCCGCGCCACUGUUGACCGGAGUGCGCAGAGAGAGAGAGGGUGAGAAGGGCGGCGGUGGUUAGCUCCCGCUGCUGCGACCGCCGGAUCUGUGAACAGGGGAGGGUUGAGAGAGAGACGAGGGAGAUGGAGGGCGCGGCGGCAGUCCGUUUCUUCUGCUGCUGUCGGCCGAUUCGAGUGAGGAGGGUGGGAGUUCAGCGGCGGCUGGUCUGGUGCAGUCGUCGGAGGGAGUUCUGGGUUCGGUGAGAUAGAGGGCGAGUGAUGGGGGCGGAAUUCGAGAGAGUGAAGGGAGAGCCGAGGGUGGCGCGGCUUGUCGCCGCUGCUUCCCCGGCGAGUCUCCGCGGCGGCGGAAUUUCCGAGAGAGAAGGGGGCGAAUUUUCUGGUGUCGAAGAGAGAAAGAGAGAGAGAGAGAGCAGAUUUCAAUUGCGUGUGUGUGUGUCGUGUGUUUGAAUAAGGGAGGAGGGUUAAGGUUUGGGCCAAUUCUUUGGGCCUUUCUUUUUUUUCAGAUGGGCUGAUUUUAUUUCAUUUAAUUAGCUGGGUCCAUUUUAUUUAUUUAGUGAAGUGGGCUGAAGUUUUUAAUUUGUUGGGCUGGGUUAUUUUAAAUGAUCAGGCCCGAUUCUUCUUAUGUAUUUGGGCUGCCCUAUUUUUAAUUAAUUAAACUUACUUAGUUUGAUUAAUUUAUUUAAAGAAUAAUUUGCAUAAUGAUAUGAUAUUAUUAUUAUGUACAUAUUUUAAGUAAUUACUUAUUAUA
RNAcentral lists this long non-coding RNA (1277 nucleotides) under Salvia miltiorrhiza (redroot sage). Its description in RNAcentral is "long non-coding RNA (SMIL_LNC013299)". Lineage: Eukaryota; Viridiplantae; Streptophyta; Magnoliopsida; Lamiales; Lamiaceae. The record is from RNAcentral.